UACGGAGGGUGCGAGCGUUGUCCGGAAUCACUGGGCGUAAAGGGCGCGUAGGUGGCGCGGGUAGUCGUCGGUGAAAGCUCAGGGCUCAACCCUGAGUCGGCCGGUGAUACUCCCGUGCUUGAGUGUGGUAGAGGCCAAUGGAAUUCCGGGUGUAGCGGUGGAAUGCGUAGAGAUCCGGAAGAACACCGGUGGCGAAGGCGGUUGGCUGGGCCACAACUGACACUGAGGAGCGAAAGCCAGGGGAGCAAACGGG
RNAcentral lists this ribosomal RNA (253 nucleotides) under uncultured bacterium. RNAcentral's name for it is "partial 16S ribosomal RNA". It matches the Rfam family "Bacterial small subunit ribosomal RNA", at positions 524 to 776 of the family's 1533-position model. The record is from RNAcentral.